Molecule: small nuclear RNA, 141 nt
Filed under: Aotus nancymaae (Ma's night monkey)
Lineage: Eukaryota; Metazoa; Chordata; Mammalia; Primates; Aotidae
Description: U4 spliceosomal RNA (ENSANAG00000004195.1)
Rfam family: U4 spliceosomal RNA
About the family: U4 small nuclear RNA (U4 snRNA) is a component of the major U2-dependent spliceosome. The structure of U4 snRNA from yeast and human has been reported.
Source: Rfam by way of RNAcentral
AGCUUUGCACAGUGGCAGUAUCAUAGCCAAUGAGGUUUAUCCGAGGCACGAUUAUUGCUAAUUGAAAACUUUUCCCAAUACCCCGCUCUGACAACUUACAAUAUAUUCGGCACUGACAAUUUUUGACAGUCUCUAUGGAGA